UCAGUUCGGAUCGGAGUCUGCAACCCGACUCCGUGAAGCUGGAUUCGCUAGUAAUCGCGCAUCAGCCAUGGCGCGGUGAAUACGUUCCCGGGCCUUGUACACACCGCCCGUCAAGCCAUGGGGAGCCGGGGGGUGCUUGAAGUGCGUCGCCGCAAGGCGCGCCCUAGAGCAAAACCGGUGACUGGGGCUAAGUCGUAACAAGGUAAC
RNAcentral lists this ribosomal RNA (207 nucleotides) under uncultured bacterium. Its description in RNAcentral is "partial 16S ribosomal RNA". It matches the Rfam family "Bacterial small subunit ribosomal RNA", at positions 1288 to 1500 of the family's 1533-position model. The record is from RNAcentral.